ACGGAAGGCAGCAGUGGGGGAUAUUGCACAAUGGGGGAAACCCUGAUGCAGCGAUGCCGCGUGGAGGAAGAAGGUUUUCGGAUUGUAAACUCCUGUCCUGAAGGACGAUAAUGACGGUACUUCAGGAGGAAGCUCCGGCUAACUAUGUGCCAGCAGCCGCGGUAAUACAUAGGGAGCGAGCGUUAUCCGGAAUUACUGGGUGUAAAGGGAGCGCAGGCGGGACUGCAAGUCAGAUGUGAAAUAUACGGGCUCAACCUGUAGACUGCAUUUGAAACUGUGGUUCUUGAGUGAAGUAGAGGUAAGCGGAAUUCCUAGUGUAGCGGUGAAAUGCGUAGAUAUUAGGAGGAACAUCGGUGGCGAAGGCGGCUUACUGGGCUUUUACUGACGCUGAGGCUCGAAAGCGUGGGGAGCAAACAGGAUUAGAUACCCUGGUA
RNAcentral lists this ribosomal RNA (434 nucleotides) under uncultured Ruminococcus sp. RNAcentral describes it as "bacterial SSU rRNA". It matches the Rfam family "Bacterial small subunit ribosomal RNA", at positions 341 to 792 of the family's 1533-position model. Lineage: Bacteria; Bacillati; Bacillota; Clostridia; Eubacteriales; Oscillospiraceae. The record is from RNAcentral.